CAAUUAGUGUUUUUCWCCUGUUGAUCCAUGAUUGGCUGACGCUCUGAGGAGCGCAGCUGCAGCAGGUUCCACUGAUGAGCACCAGGGGUUUAUUAGAUGGCACUGAAGAACAGGACCUCGCCGGCGCAACACAUAUCUAUGUGAACUCGUUCUUGGUCCUGUGAACCCAUCUGGAAGAUCUACUCCCCCUGCUCAUCUGCCUGUCUGCCUCCAACUAAAAAGAGAAAUACUCACCUGCCUCAACUCACCUGCUUCUCAGCCUCGCACCUGCAAACCAGAGAUUACCAAACUUACCUUUGUGGAUCCUCGUCCUCUUCUCCGAGCUGCUCCYCUGUUCUCCCUCCCUGUCCCAACCCGUCCCCAUCCUGUGCACUGUAAAUAAAAACACUUAUUGUUUA
Molecule: long non-coding RNA, 398 nt
Organism: Austrofundulus limnaeus
Lineage: Eukaryota; Metazoa; Chordata; Actinopteri; Cyprinodontiformes; Rivulidae
Exons: 2
Source: RefSeq, a predicted model, not a curated record